This 505-nucleotide long non-coding RNA is filed under the name Piliocolobus tephrosceles (Ugandan red Colobus). RNAcentral's name for it is "lncRNA (ENSPTEG00000035926.1)". The record is from RNAcentral. Lineage: Eukaryota; Metazoa; Chordata; Mammalia; Primates; Cercopithecidae.
GAGGAGCAGGCAGCUGUGGUGCUGAGAUAGGAGCUUGAAAUGCUUCAUGGUGCCAAGACUGUCAUAAACGGCUCCUGGGGUCUGAAAAAACGACAGCAGGAUUCAGCGUUCCUCUGACAACCACUCAGAAAAUAGAAUGUGAAGAAGAAGGAGGAAGGGAAGAUGCGGGGCCAGCCAUCAGAAUGUUCCCUGUGGCUCCAUGGAUGCCUAGAAAUGCUAGUCACUUCAAGGGCACAGAGAAAGGGACUAGAAAAUCCUCUGGAUGGGCCUUCAAAGGGAUGAAAUAUGGACCAUUAGCUGAGUCAGCUGACUCUUGUGUGAUUGGACCUCUGCCCAGUCCUCCCACACCCUCUGGUAUCGUCUUGCCCCUCCAUCUGGGGGAUCCAGCCCAUGGCCUUUUUGGUUUCUGAGGAAUCUUGCCUACAGUCUUCCCUCUGCUUGGGAUGUUCUUUACCCAAACACAGCGACUUGAUAAACACGGUAAUGUACUGCUGUACGCAACUAU